This 72-nucleotide transfer RNA is filed under the name Notopterus notopterus (bronze featherback). Its description in RNAcentral is "tRNA-Gly". It matches the Rfam family "tRNA". From Rfam's summary of the family: Transfer RNA (tRNA) molecules are approximately 80 nucleotides in length. Their secondary structure includes four short double-helical elements and three loops (D, anti-codon, and T loops). Lineage: Eukaryota; Metazoa; Chordata; Actinopteri; Osteoglossiformes; Notopteridae. The record is from RNAcentral.
AUCUUUCUAGUAUUAAUAUCAGUACAUGUGACUUCCAAUCACUCAGCCUUGGUUAAAAUCCAAGGAAAGAUA